This 592-nucleotide long non-coding RNA is filed under the name Theobroma cacao (cacao). RNAcentral describes it as "long non-coding RNA (TCAC_LNC001210)". The record is from RNAcentral. Lineage: Eukaryota; Viridiplantae; Streptophyta; Magnoliopsida; Malvales; Malvaceae.
UUUUGCUCACCAGGGAGAUGCGAAAGUUGAUGCUAAGCCUUGCAGGGUUCUGAUCGGCAUUCGGGGUAAUGAGUGCCUAUCGGGACGUCGCGACGAUUGUCACGGGCUCGAUAAGAGUUCCGGGUCAUGACAAGGGAUGCACAUGAGCUAGGUGAGGUGGUGGUGGUAUUGGUGGUUAUGUAUAUAUAUAUAUAUUUACGUAAUAUGAAGUUCAUGAAUAUGGUAUAUGGUUGUAAUGUAUGUGAAAUCUUGCAUGUUGAACCUUGGAAAUUGUUAAGUAUUUUUAAGUUGAUUUUGUCAUUGCAGCGAGAAACAUUUUGUUUCGCCUGCUACCAUGUUUGGUUCCUACCCCACUUUCCAUUUCUUUAGUACCAUAGUAUACCAUAGACUCUCAACAUUAAGGAAUUUAGUUAAUCAAGUUUGAAAUGAAGAGUUUUAAUAAGAACUAAACUAAAUUGCAUUGUUUUGAAAAUAAGUGCAUCAUGAUUUCUUUAAACUUUCCUUAUUGUUUGCUUGUUUCUCUUUUUUGUUCUCUCACUAGGUUUAUACUCACCGUUUUCAACUUCAUGAUUUCAUAUCAAGAGGCAAUUGG